GAGGAGGAGGAGAGGCCGGGCCGAUGGAGGGGUGAGACAGGGAGGAGGAGAGAGACGGAGAGGGAACAGAGAGGAACUCCAGCUGGCCAAUGGAGAGGCUGCGAUGCUGCCGGCCGCUGGGAGGACGCGACGAUGUGAACAAGCCACGCCCCUCAGGCUGAGGUCUUCAGAGGGUGAAAAGAUGAGGAGAAGAAGAAGAAGAGAUUCUUCUGGAAAACAUCCAAACAGCUUUGUUUGAUCUGAGCAGACGGAGGGAGGAAGGUGGAGGAAGAGGAGUGUGAAGCUGCACAGGAACCCUGACGGAGUUUGGAAGUGCUCGUCAAUCACACAGAGGUAUGAACCAAUCAGAGAGGGGGGAGGCUGAUUGAGGGAGAGGCCAACCAGAGUGUUUCCAUGGUGACUGGGUGUCUGCGAUGCCACUCAGGGGCCAGAGGUCGCUCACUCGCCGGUCCAUCUGCCACGCUGCGUCUGGAGGGAGCCAAUCAAGAGAGAGAGAGAGAUGCCAAGAAAAGAGGAACCAAUCAGAGGAGGGGAUGGAGACAGGA
This is a long non-coding RNA of Sebastes umbrosus (honeycomb rockfish), 545 nucleotides long. RefSeq lists it as uncharacterized. The transcript has 3 exons. The record is from RefSeq and is a predicted model, not a curated record. NCBI's taxonomy places the organism in Eukaryota, Metazoa, Chordata, Actinopteri, Perciformes, Sebastidae.